GAAAAAUUAGUUAAUUUAUAACAUUAAUUUGUCAAGUUAAAAUUAUUACUUUAAGUAAUAUUUUUCU
This 67-nucleotide transfer RNA is filed under the name Agathidium nigripenne. RNAcentral's name for it is "tRNA-Asp". Lineage: Eukaryota; Metazoa; Arthropoda; Insecta; Coleoptera; Leiodidae. The record is from RNAcentral.